CUGAACGCCUCUAAGUCAGAAUCCGUGCUAGAAACGAUGAUGUUGGUGUCGCACAUUAGACUUGUGUUUAAUAGAGCUUUGCUCGUGAACCAAAUAUGGUGGGCUGGGUUGUCUUUGUGGAAACGCUUAGGCGACUUGUCUACGAAUUGUAAUCAUAAUAUGGGCGGCGGUGAAUCCUUUGCAGACGACUUGAAUGGGAACGGGGUACUGUAAGUGGUAGAGUAGCCUUGUUGCUACGAUCCACUGAGGUUAAGCCCUUGUUCUAAAGAUUUGUUCA
Molecule: ribosomal RNA, 277 nt
Filed under: Armillaria borealis
Lineage: Eukaryota; Fungi; Basidiomycota; Agaricomycetes; Agaricales; Physalacriaceae
Description: partial 26S ribosomal RNA
Rfam family: Eukaryotic large subunit ribosomal RNA
Source: RNAcentral